Molecule: unclassified non-coding RNA, 161 nt
Filed under: Drosophila erecta
Lineage: Eukaryota; Metazoa; Arthropoda; Insecta; Diptera; Drosophilidae
Description: GG21836
Source: RNAcentral
ACCACUACUCAAGGUCCAUGGUGGGGAAACACCACUACUCAAGGUCCAUGGUGGGGAAAUAACUCUACUCAAGGUCCAUGGUGGGGAAACAACUCAACCGAAGGUCCAUGGUGGGGAAACAACUCAACCGAAGGUCCAUGGUGGGGAAACAAUUCAACAGA